ACAAUUCUUGGUUGCUUUAAGCUUGACUUACGAGUAAGAACAAUUAAAUAGAGAUGUUGGUAAACCAAUUUGAUUAAAAACACACUUAAAUUUCAAAAAGUACUCAUGCAAUUAUAAAAAUACGAAAGAAAAAUUAAAGUGCUAAGAUAAAGUCAUGGUGAACUAGAGCCACCCAAAAGUACAUUACAAAAUUCCCAAAAACCAAAAACAGAAUUAGUAAAAAGAAACUCAAA
This 233-nucleotide long non-coding RNA is filed under the name Lathyrus oleraceus (garden pea). RNAcentral describes it as "Pisum sativum (pea) long non-coding RNA (PSAT_LNC025815)". The record is from RNAcentral. Lineage: Eukaryota; Viridiplantae; Streptophyta; Magnoliopsida; Fabales; Fabaceae.